GAUGAAGAACGUAGCGAAAUGCGAUAAGUAAUGUGAAUUGCAGAAUUCAGUGAAUCAUCGAAUCUUUGAACGCACAUUGCGCCCCUUGGUAUUCCGAGGGGCAUGCCUGUUCGAGCGUCAUUAUAACCCCUCAAGCUCAGCUUGGUGUUGGGGCCUGCUGCACUGGCGGCCCUUAAAAUCAGUGGCGGCGCCAUCUGGCUCUAAGCGUAGUAAUUCUUCUCGCUAUGGAGUCCUGGUGGAUGCUUGCCAUCAACCCCCAAUUUUUCUAUGGUUGACCUCGGAUCAGGUAGGGAUACCCGCUGAACUUAAGCAUAUCAAUAAGCGGAGGA
RNAcentral lists this unclassified non-coding RNA (329 nucleotides) under soil metagenome. RNAcentral describes it as "partial contains 5.8S ribosomal RNA, internal transcribed spacer 2, and large subunit ribosomal RNA". The stretch from base 1 to 120 matches the Rfam family "5.8S ribosomal RNA", at positions 35 to 154 of the family's 154-position model. The record is from RNAcentral.